RNAcentral lists this transfer RNA (773 nucleotides) under uncultured cyanobacterium. Its description in RNAcentral is "partial 16S-23S ribosomal RNA intergenic spacer". The stretch from base 266 to 338 matches the Rfam family "tRNA". Lineage: Bacteria; Bacillati; Cyanobacteriota. The record is from RNAcentral.
CAGGGAGACAACACAAUGAUUUUGAUGCUGAGUGCUUUUAUUCUUAGGCCGAAAUCCUGUCACUUUAGGUCGAUCGGUACUCAGCUUUGAAGUCAAGGAUCAACAGCAAUGUUGAUUGCUUGAUGGAGAUUUUCAGUUCCUAAACUUUGUCUAGGUCACACCCCAAAAGGGAUGAGACUCCUGGGCCAUUAGCUCAGGUGGUUAGAGCGCACCCCUGAUAAGGGUGAGGUCCCUGGUUCAAGUCCAGGAUGGCCCAUUCGGUGUUGGGGGUUUAGCUCAGUUGGUAGAGCGCCUGCUUUGCAAGCAGGAUGUCAGGAGUUCGAGUCUCCUAACCUCCACUGACCGAACUUGAUUCCCAUCUCCAAUUUUUUGGAGUUGAGCUCGAUUGGAGUGUGAUUUAGAUGUGUCCGCUGGAUGACCCCAGCUUCCUGUCAUUCCAAGUUUUAGAUUUUAAGUCUUGAAUUUGGUUGAUAAGAUGCUGGGCUCGGAUCAAAUGAUCAAGCAAUUGAUGAUUUGAUUUGAAGUUCUAGCAGAACCUUGACAACUGCAUAGGUGAGUCUGGAAAAAACAAAGCAUCUUACAGAUGCAUUGUUUUGAAUCUGAUCUUCUGAAAGGGAGAUUGGAUCUAGAACAAUGAAAAUUCUUUUGAGCAAGAGCCGAGACUCUUGAGCGUUCUUUGAUUGGUGUCGAGCCAAUCAGAGUUUGAUCUUGUUUUUAGCAACAAAAACUUGAGAAUCUGCUUUCAACGGCAGUAAGCGUUCAGGAGGUUAAUU